UUCAACUCAACUCAGAGAGCAAACCAGAGCAUAUCCACAUCCACCGAGCGAACAGAAAGAACAACUCGAUCAGUCACAGACAGAGUCUCGAAUCUUGCGUUCGAUUUGAUCGGAGAAGAUGGCGAGCAAGGGAGGCAACAAGGGGGAGGGCCCUGCGAUCGGCAUCGACCUCGGCACCACCUACUCCUGCGUCGGCGUAUGGCAGCACGACCGGGUGGAGAUCGUCGCCAACGACCAAGGCAACCGCACCACGCCGUCCUACGUCGCCUUCACCGACACCGAGCGGCUCAUCGGCGACGCCGCCAAGAACCAGGUCGCCAUGAACCCCACCAACACCGUUUUUGGUAAGCCCCGCCUGCCCCGGUCUCUUAUCUUAUACAGUAGAAUCCAUGCUCGUGCAGUGAGAGUACGUGCUCUGCCUUUUGCUCUGUUUUACGCUAAU
RNAcentral lists this long non-coding RNA (442 nucleotides) under Triticum aestivum (bread wheat). RNAcentral describes it as "long non-coding RNA (TAES_LNC004615)". Lineage: Eukaryota; Viridiplantae; Streptophyta; Magnoliopsida; Poales; Poaceae. The record is from RNAcentral.